UACGUAGGUGGCAAGCGUUAUCCGGAUUUACUGGGUGUAAAGGGCGUGUAGGCGGGGACGCAAGCCAGAUGUGAAAACCACGGGCUCAACCUGUGGCCUGCAUUUGAAACUGUGUUUCUUGAGUACUGGAGAGGCAGACGGAAUUCCUAGUGUAGCGGUGAAAUGCGUAGAUAUUAGGAGGAACACCAGUGGCGAAGGCGGUCUGCUGGACAGCAACUGACGCUGAGGCGCGAAAGCGUGGGGAGCAAACAGG
This 253-nucleotide ribosomal RNA is filed under the name uncultured bacterium. Its description in RNAcentral is "partial 16S ribosomal RNA". It matches the Rfam family "Bacterial small subunit ribosomal RNA", at positions 524 to 776 of the family's 1533-position model. The record is from RNAcentral.